This 254-nucleotide long non-coding RNA is filed under the name Gallus gallus (chicken). The record is from RNAcentral. Lineage: Eukaryota; Metazoa; Chordata; Aves; Galliformes; Phasianidae.
UCCACUUAGAUUCAUAUUCCUGCUCACACUGCACACAACCAAAAUUCAGCAAAAUCACUGGGCUUGGUCAUACCUGAUAAUCCAUCAUACUGAAGCUUGGGAAAAAUUCAAGAAUACGGGACUCAAAGAAGUAUGGAAAUACCCAGAACGUGGGCAUCUCUCGGUCCUUAUUGCCUCCUUUUUCUGUAUCCUUCCACAUUGCCAUCAGUUUUUUAAAACUAGAAGCCAGUGCUUCCACUAAACCUCCAAAUGGG